UACGAAGGGGGCUAGCGUUGCUCGGAAUCACUGGGCGUAAAGGGCGCGUAGGCGGCGUUUUAAGUCGGGGGUGAAAGCCUGUGGCUCAACCACAGAACGGCCUUCGAUACUGGGACGCUUGAGUAUGGUAGAGGUUGGUGGAACUGCGAGUGUAGAGGUGAAAUUCGUAGAUAUUCGCAAGAACACCGGUGGCGAAGGCGGCCAACUGGACCAUUACUGACGCUGAGGCGCGAAAGCGUGGGGAGCAAACAGG
This 253-nucleotide ribosomal RNA is filed under the name uncultured bacterium. Its description in RNAcentral is "partial 16S ribosomal RNA". It matches the Rfam family "Bacterial small subunit ribosomal RNA", at positions 524 to 776 of the family's 1533-position model. The record is from RNAcentral.